ACAAAGGGCUCUGGAUUGUGGCGGGGAAGGAGCGGAGGAACUGUGCAUCCGGGAAUGGUGCGACUGCCGAUCCUAUCUGUUGGUCUACUGUUUGACAGGUGCCACAACGGCCUUGUAGCUUCAGGAGCGGAGCAUGGAGGAGGGCUCUGAGUCAUGGUGGGAGAAAUAUGGUUGUGUACGUGGCAACGCACGGGCACUCUUGUAAACUCUAGCUAGACUUGGACAAUAAUGCUUACGUGUGUUAGUGGGUUGCAGGUAAUGAGUUGUUUAGUAGACAUACCCACUGAAGUAUUUACUUUACUUGAUCAAUGUUGUUCCAUAGAAUAUGUGCGGAAUCAUUACAAGUUAGUAUCCGCUGAAGUACAGAUGGGACAUGAUUUGUGUGGAAUCACUAGAAUAUGUGUGCCAUUUACUGAGCUGCUCGGGUGGGAAGUGCAAUUCAGUAUGAUCCUGGAUCUCUCUCUCUCUCCUCGCACUUCAAACGGCUUCCUGCUCAGUAGAUGGAAAGAUGGGUUUAGGUUGGGAGGAAGAAGCUGUACAGAUAAGGAAAAGUAGAACCAAGGGAGGGGGAUGAAACACAUUUAUUUGAGCACCGUCUCUCUUUUGGCAGUUUCAGAGUCAUCAACACGUCGAGAAUGGUGCUAACGUUUUCAUUUUGGUGAUAUCAGGGAUUUAGAGCAUCCACACGAUCUCGGUCGUCAAUGGCCUGAAGCCAAAUUUUAUUUCUGUUAACUGACAAAUGGUCAUGUGCUGAACUGCUGAUGUCAGGCUGUUAGGCUGUUAAUUGUUCUGCUACUGUCGAAAGAGAAAGCCCAUCUCGAAGCCUAAAGGAGAUGACAUCCCAGGAGCCAUCACUGAAGGUUUUCAGGCCAUGACGAUACCGCUUGUGCCAGAGAGGGUAGUAUGUGACCCCCCAGAGUAUAUAACUGGUAGGAAGUUAAGUAAAUGUAGCUCUGGCAAGGUGUAUGUUGGCAUACGAAUAGAUAUGCCUGGUGGAGCAUACAACGGUCCAAAUGCACACGAGCUUCUCUUAGCUACCUGCAUUAAAUGGACACCGAAAUCUGUUCUUGAUUCACUUUAAUAUACACUUGUUUGAGCAUCAGUCGAUACAGAGGCUAGAUGAGAUCCUCUUUUAUCUAAAAAGAAUCUUAUCUUCAUGUAGGUUGCACUUAAAUUUGAGCAUCAGAAAAGCAGAGCAGGUUGCUAUAACGCCCCAUUAGAGUGGAAGUAUAUCAGCAAGAAUUAUACACAAUCAUCCCCUUUUUACAUUUGUAUAGUUUUUUGUGGAGGAUGUCAUGUUAUCCUUUUGUGAGCAGGACUCUCAAUGGCUGUUAUGGCAUACCAUCAGUACACUACAUGGGUCAUCAAGGAGACUACCACACUCUUAUAAUGGAUAUGCUUGGUCCUAACCUAUGGGAUGUUCAUGAUUCACUUGAACAGAAGAAGUAUACUUUCCAUCUUUUCAUCCUCGCUGCUUGUUCCCCUUACUACUUGCUGGAAGUAUGAACUCCCCUAACAGGAUGCCAUUUCAAAUGGUUGCUCAUAUUGUCGUUGAUGCCGUAUCAAUUUUUGAGAAGAUUGACUCCAAAGGUGGCGUUAACACUUGCUGCUCCUGCUAUUAUUCCCAGCUUUGUACAUGGUGAUGUCAAACCUGAAAACUUUUUUCUUGGUCAGCUUGGAUAUGCUCAAGAAAAUAAGCUUUUAUCAUUAAUUUUGGCUUAGGUAUUCUAUUACAUAACGUAGUUUCAUCCGUACAUGAGGAUAUUCAGUUUGGUGUUCUCAAAACACUAUGCCCUUUGCUCAGAGCAAUUGGCAUACUUGUUAGAAUGUUGAUGCAUUUUAUGCCCUGCUAACCUUUUUCACAUGGUUCUUUUGAUACCAAAAUUAUGCAGCAUCCAACUGGAAAAGAGGAUCAUGCAACAAGCAUGUUCAGUAUGACCAGAGGCCAGACAUAUUUAGGGGAGCAAUUAGAUAUGCCAUCAUCCAUGCCUGUUUAGGUCGUACAGGCAGUAGGAGGGAUGAUUUGGAGUCACUAGCAUACACCCUUCUAUUUUUGUUAAGAGGAAGCCUGCCAUGGCAAGGCUGUCAGAUAUUGUGUGCCUUAUAAUAUCUCUAUUACACUUUGUACAUCCACACACAUCGAAUCCACUUAUUUUCUCAGAUACUUCAGUUCCAAUUGUAUUUUAAUAUAUCUAUCUUCACUUUACAUUAGUAGAAAUAUAUCAUGCCUAUUCGAAUUAGUCAUCACAUAGUAUUGAUCGGCAUGCUCUUAUGAUGAUUAUCUUACCAAUGUUUUAUUCCAAAUGUUGUGUUGUAAUUCAUGUCUUGAUUUAAUAUUUCUUAGGUUUUUGUUGCAAGUAACUAUAUAAUUCCUUGUUACACUUCUGCUACAAUUGGCAUUAACAUCACCGGUUGGUUGUCGAUACUUCAUGUGAGGUUGAUGAGGCAGCACUAGGAGUUUCAUACUCUACUGGAUGCUCAAUAAUUGUCUUAUUGGAAGGGCAAGUGCUAUCAAGAGACUAAAGUAUAUGGGUGGUUUUUGUAUCAACAGUGCAUCUGUCAACAAAUUUAAUUUGGGUUCUCUUGCUCCAACAAGGUUAAUGAAGAUGUGCAGUAGAUAUAGUAUUUUUCUAACCGAGGCAAACUUGUUCUUCCCUAAGACACUUUCUAAGUGGUACUUCAUUUCAGACACUUUCUAAGUGGUACUUCAUUUCAAAACCAAGUAUCAUAUGAAUUGGAUUAUGUAGAAGACACAGAGAUAAAAGGUACGUCGUUGCAUUCAUAUAGACACUGAUUUAUCCUUACUAGGGCUUAAUCAGGUCAUGUAUGGUUCAUGAAUCUGCUAUUUCUUUACAAUUUUUUUACAAGUUUCUAGCACAUAGGUCCAGCAUGUUCGAUUAGGAGGUUUGCAUUGCUCUGAAUGUAUGAACUAAGGAUGCCCCGAUGUUUUGAGUUUAGAUGUGAUAAUUUAAUUUCAAAAAAAAUCAUAGAUUUGUGCAGUAGUAGCAUAGUUGUGACACCUCUAUAACAAUUCUAGAAUUUAAGGGGUGUUUUAUUUACUAUCUCCUCUAACUAAACUAUUUUGUGGUUUGUCUGGAAAAAUUACGGAGUCUUUUUUUCAGAAUUAUGUUAUCUAUCUUGCGCCAAAUUAACCACUUAUUUCUGAACUGUAGAGUCCACUAUGGUUAAUUUUAUUAUCAUAGCAAAAGAAAUCCAUUUUAAUCAUGACAUCAUGACCAUGUGAACUAGGUAUACAAGGUUAUUUCUCUGACUACUAUGCUGUCAAACAGGAAGCUACACCGGUUGUUUCUUUGGCAAUUACAAAUUAGUAUCCAUCAUCUAUAGACACUAGAGGAAUAUGUUGUUGGAGAAGGUGCAGUGUUGCGGUGAGCAGCAGGUUGUGUCGUCGUGGUGGUCACCCUCGGCUACGAUGGUGUGCAGUCCUUGGCACCGGGAUCGGCCUGGGAUGUCGUGGAGGGGAGAGGAGGGGAUGGGCGACGUCAUGGAGAGAAGGGGGCGUGGCGCUGAGAGCAAGGUGGGAGCUAAAUGAUAUGGCGUCGAGGGGAGGCAACAAUGAGAAGUCAUGGUGGGCAGAGCACACUGGGGAAUUGAGAUGUGAGUGUGACCAUUGCAUCGUGCAAUGAGUGAGAGGGUGAAUUGCUUUUUUAAGGUAAGAAGAGAAGGAUCGGUUGUUUGCUUUCAACGGAAAAUCGGUUGUUUGCUAUGAGAGAAAUGUCACAUACUUCUGUAUAUAGAGAAAAAUCUCACAAAGCCUAACAAGUCAUCUCUAGCAGCUCACUAGCAAGUAGAGGGGAGAGUGUUUGAUACGUCUCCAACGUAUCUAUAAAUUUUUAUUGUUCCAUGCUAUU
This is a non-coding RNA of Triticum urartu, 3869 nucleotides long. The record is from RefSeq and is a predicted model, not a curated record. NCBI's taxonomy places the organism in Eukaryota, Viridiplantae, Streptophyta, Magnoliopsida, Poales, Poaceae.